GGACUACCCGGGUAUCUAAUCCCAUUCGCGACCCACGCUUUCGUGUUUCAGCGUCAGGAGCGGUCCAGUCUCUUGCCUUCGCUUUUGGUGUUCCCCUAGAUAUCAACGCAUUUCACCGCUACACCUAGAGUUCCAGAGACCUCUACCGUCCUCUUAGUCGUGCCGUUUCCCGCGCGGGCCCUCGGUUGAGCCGAAGGAUUUUACGCGAGACUAACACAACCGCCUACACACCCUUUACGCCCAAUGAUUCCGGAUAACGCUUGAGGCACUCGUAUUACCGCGGCGGCUGGCAC
This 293-nucleotide ribosomal RNA is filed under the name uncultured bacterium. Its description in RNAcentral is "partial 16S ribosomal RNA". The record is from RNAcentral.